Telopea speciosissima is the source of this 436-nucleotide long non-coding RNA. RefSeq lists it as uncharacterized. Lineage: Eukaryota; Viridiplantae; Streptophyta; Magnoliopsida; Proteales; Proteaceae. The transcript is spliced from 2 exons. The record is from RefSeq and is a predicted model, not a curated record.
UUGCUAGGCUGAAAAGACAGUACCAGAAAACCUUCUAGAAAAAUCAGAAUCACAGUGAAACAAAACUGAUAGUGUAUGGCAGAAACUUGGACAGAAUAGAUAUCUCAAUUCCGACAACUGAUGAGGCUGAAACUUGGACUGAAUGGAGGUCCUAAUGGAUAGACUAGGUGCUAAAUAUAUCAAGGCCAACCAAUGGUUGGAUUAAAAGAAACAAACACCAACAAAUUCCUGGUCGAUUUCAGUGAAGAGGGAGGAGAAGAUUAUAUCAGAAAUUGAAGCGUAUCCAAUGGCUAGAUUAAGAGAAACAUUAAGAAAAAGUUACUGAUAUAAUAGGGCAAACCAGAAAUCAUAGUAAAAGGGAAAACAGAGAAUAAAACCUGGAGAAAUAAUGGUUAACAGAAUGGUAUGUUAUGAAAAAUAAAGAGAACAUAAGAAG